GAUGAACGCUGGCGGCGUGCCUAACACAUGCAAGUCGAGCGAACAGACGAGGAGCUUUCCCCUCGGACGUUAGCCGCGGACGUGUGAGUAACACGUGGAUAACCUACUUAUAAGUCUGUGAUAACUACGGGAAACCGGAGCUAAUACCGGAUAAUAUAUUGAACCGCAUGGUGCAAUAGUGAAAGACGGUUUUGCGGUCACUGAUAGAUGGAUCAGUGCCGCAUUAGCUAGUUGGUAAGGUAACGGCUUACCAAGGCAACGAUGUGUAGCCGACCUGAGAGGGUGAUCGGCCACACUGGAACUGAGACACGGUCCAGACUCCUACGGGAGGCAGCAGUGGGGAAUCUUCGGCAAUGGGCGCAAGCCUGACCGAGCAACGCCGCGUGCGUGAUGAAGGUCUUCGGAUCGUAAACCGCUGUUGUUAGGGAAGAAAAGAUGUGGAAUUAAAUAUGCAGGUAUUGACGGUACCGUAUCAGAAAGCCCCGGCUAACUACGUG
RNAcentral lists this ribosomal RNA (497 nucleotides) under uncultured bacterium. Its description in RNAcentral is "partial 16S ribosomal RNA". It matches the Rfam family "Bacterial small subunit ribosomal RNA", at positions 28 to 507 of the family's 1533-position model. The record is from RNAcentral.